This 435-nucleotide ribosomal RNA is filed under the name uncultured bacterium. Its description in RNAcentral is "partial 16S ribosomal RNA". It matches the Rfam family "Bacterial small subunit ribosomal RNA", at positions 29 to 507 of the family's 1533-position model. The record is from RNAcentral.
AGCGAACGCUGGCGGCAGGCUUAACACAUGCAAGUCGAACGGGCAUCUUCGGAUGUCAGUGGCAGACGGGUGAGUAACACGUGGGAACGUACCCUUCGGUUCGGAAUAACUCAGGGAAACUUGAGCUAAUACCGGAUACGCCCUUUUGGGGAAAGGUUUACUGCCGAAGGAUCGGCCCGCGUCUGAUUAGCUUGUUGGUGGGGUAACGGCCUACCAAGGCGACGAUCAGUAGCUGGUCUGAGAGGAUGAUCAGCCACACUGGGACUGAGACACGGCCCAGACUCCCACGGGAGGCAGCAGUGGGGAAUAUUGGACAAUGGGCGCAAGCCUGAUCCAGCCAUGCCGCGUGAGUGAUGAAGGCCUUAGGGUUGUAAAGCUCUUUUGUCCGGGACGAUAAUGACGGUACCGGAAGAAUAAGCCCCGGCUAACUUCGUG